This 662-nucleotide ribosomal RNA is filed under the name uncultured organism. RNAcentral's name for it is "bacterial SSU rRNA". It matches the Rfam family "Bacterial small subunit ribosomal RNA", at positions 1 to 663 of the family's 1533-position model. The record is from RNAcentral.
GGCUUAGAGUUUGAUCAUGGCUCAGGACGAACGCUGGCGGCGCGCUUAACACAUGCAAGUCGAACGGAGUUUUUUAGAAUGAAGUUUUCGGAUGGAAUUUUUUAAAACUUAGUGGCGGACGGGUGAGUAACACGUGAGCAACCUGCCUUUCAGAGGGGGAUAACGGCUGGAAACGGUCGCUAAUACCGCAUAAAAUCAUAGGAGGACAUCCUCUAAUGAUCAAAGGAGCAAUCCGCUGAAAGAUGGGCUCGCGUCUGAUUAGAUAGUUGGCGGGGUAACGGCCCACCAAGUCGACGAUCAGUAGCCGGACUGAGAGGUUGAACGGCCACAUUGGGACUGAGACACGGCCCAGACUCCUACGGGAGGCAGCAGUGGGGGAUAUUGCACAAUGGGCGCAAGCCUGAUGCAGCGACGCCGCGUGGAGGAAGAAGGUUUUCGGAUUGUAAACUCCUGUCUUCAGGGACGAUAAUGACGGUACCUGAGGAGGAAGCCACGGCUAACUACGUGCCAGCAGCCGCGGUAAUACGUAGGUGGCAAGCGUUGUCCGGAAUUACUGGGUGUAAAGGGAGCGUAGGCGGGAUUGCAAGUUAAAUGUGAAAUCUAUCGGCUCAACCGGUAGCUGCGUUUAAAACUGUAGUUCUUGAGUGAAGUAGAGGCAGGCG